GGCAAACUUCUUAGGGGUUGUAGCUUCUGUUAAAGGAGUGAAGGGAUUUGAUCCUGAGGCGGCCAAAAAGAGGUUCUUUGAGAUAUAUCUGGAGAAGUAUGCAAAACCAAAUUCAGGAAUAGGAUUUCCAGGAGCCCUUGUACUGAUUAAUCAGUUUGCAGACCAUGAUGGAACAGGAUCCGAAGUCCUUCUUCAACUUCCACUAGCUGUCAUUUGUGCGAAGGAUGGUCAAAUUUAUAUUGCAG
Long non-coding RNA from Pistacia vera, 245 nucleotides. RefSeq lists it as uncharacterized. The transcript is spliced from 3 exons. Lineage: Eukaryota; Viridiplantae; Streptophyta; Magnoliopsida; Sapindales; Anacardiaceae. The record is from RefSeq and is a predicted model, not a curated record.